This 440-nucleotide ribosomal RNA is filed under the name uncultured bacterium. RNAcentral's name for it is "partial 16S ribosomal RNA". It matches the Rfam family "Bacterial small subunit ribosomal RNA", at positions 338 to 795 of the family's 1533-position model. The record is from RNAcentral.
CCUACGGGAGGCAGCAGUGGGGGAUAUUGCACAAUGGGGGGAACCCUGAUGCAGCGACGCCGCGUGGGUGAAGAAGCACCUCGUCGCGUAAAGCCCUGUCAGCAGGGAAGAAAAUGACGGUACCUGAAGAAGAAGCCCCGGCUAACUACGUGCCAGCAGCCGCGGUAAUACGUAGGGGGCAAGCGUUAUCCGGAUUUACUGGGUGUAAAGGGGGCGUAGACGGCGAUGCAAGCCAGGAGUGAAAGCCCGGGGCCCAACCCCGGGACUGCUCUUGAAACUGGCUAGCUAGAGUGCAGGAGGGGUAGGCGGAAUUCCUGGUGUAGCGGUGAAAUGCGUAGAUAUUAGGAGGAACACCGGUGGCGAAGGCGGCCUACUGGACUGUAACUGACGUUGAGGCCCGAAAGCGUGGGGAGCAAACAGGAUUAGAUACCCGGGUAGUC